UCGGGAAUUUUGGGCAAUGGGCGAAAGCCUGACCCAGCAACGCCGCGUGAAGGAUGAAGUAUUUCGGUAUGUAAACUUCGUAAGAAUAGGAAGAAUAAAUGACGGUACUAUUUGUAAGGUCCGGCUAACUACGUGCCAGCAGCCGCGGUAAUACGUAGGGACCAAGCGUUGUUCGGAUUUACUGGGCGUAAAGGGCGCGUAGGCGGUGUGUCAAGUCAGUUGUGAAAUCUCCGAGCUUAACUCGGAACGGUCAACUGAUACUGUCACACUAGAGUACAGAAGGGGCAAUCGGAAUUCCUAGUGUAGAGGUGAAAUUCGUAGAUAUUAGGAAGAACACCGGUGGCGAAGGCGGCCCACUGGAUCGGUACUGACGCUGAGGUGCGAAAGCGUGGGGAGCAAACAGGAUUAGAUACCCGGGUAGUCCCUGAGCGGGCUGGCAAGGCGCAU
This 447-nucleotide ribosomal RNA is filed under the name uncultured bacterium. Its description in RNAcentral is "bacterial SSU rRNA". It matches the Rfam family "Bacterial small subunit ribosomal RNA", at positions 355 to 825 of the family's 1533-position model. The record is from RNAcentral.